UUUUUUUUAGCCUCCUUAGAAUUUUUUUUUCAUAAAUAGUCUUAGAAAAUUUAUAUUUACAAAAUUAAUACUAUUCUCACCAUACAAAAGCCACGUAAGCAUCACAUGAGUAUGGCGGAUUAAGUUGAACACGAUAAAUUAUUCACCGCAUUUGAAUAUGGUGAAUAUAUUUACCGGAUUUGAAUAUGGUGAAUAGUUUGGCAUGUCCUUUCUGUAUUUUACUUAAAUCGUAUCCUUUUCAUAUUCGCCGUAUUUAUUGUAUUGAAUAUUGUAUAAGUUAAGUUGAAUACGGUGAACUAUUAAUCGUGUUAAAAUAAAGUGAAUGAUUUAUUAUGUUCAACUUAAAUCUUGAACUGCCAGCCACGCUCACGUGGUACUUGAGUGACGCUUGCGUAGCGGGGAUAGGGUCAAUCUUGCAAUAUAAAUUUUAUGAGACUAGAGCAAUAGAGCAAGUGGUAAAGGACUUGGUGGUUGGUAUCCGAGACCCAAGUUCAAAUUCUAGUUGAUUCACAUUUUCAGCUAAGUUUAUUUCUAAAUAAAAUAAACGAAGCGGGUAGCAUGCUACCUAUUUCUCAAAAAAAGAAAAAAAAAAUUAUGAGACUAUUUAUAAAUUUUUUUUUUUUUGAGGGAGUUAAAAGCAAAAAAAAAACCUAUUAAAAAAUGAGUGUGAAUUUUAUAUUCUUAUCAUCCAAGAAUCACAUUUUUACAUUUUAAUACUAAAAUUCGGAGAGGGGUUAUGAGUUAUAUGAACCCCUCAGUCAAAGUUACAUAUUUUAUAUAAAAUUUGUAGCAUUAAAUUAUAUUCCUUAUUGCACAAUGGUACAAGAAUUAUUUUUUUAAAGCCCUAUUUUAUAUAUUAUGCAGUUAUCUUAUUAUUUCUGAUUGAAUUCUUUUCUAUUCUAUUCAGCAUAAUAUAAUUGUGGGACCAUUUAAUUAUCUAUUUUUGUUAAAAAAAUGAUCACUACUAAAUUAGCAAAGUUUAGGCCUUGCUUAGUGUAGAGACACCAUUUUUUUUAUUCCUUUAAUAAAAUUUUUAUACAAAAAUAAGGUUUAAAAGUGGAACGCAGAUUAUUUGUAAUUCGCGCAUAUGGCAAAAGAAAAAUAAAUAAAAUUUGUAAGUGAUUUUUUUUUCUUUUUUUUCCCAAAUAAAAUAAAAAAUAAAAUAAAAUAAUUGAUCCAAUCAGUAAAAAUGAAAUUGAUUUUAAAUAAAAUUUAGUGUCUUAUAAUUAAUCGCUUCGAAGAAAAGUAUAAUCAUAAAAGUAUAAAUAAUCUUACUGCAAUUAUUAUUAUUUUUUUUAAAGUUCUUUUCCAUGGUUCUCAAUCAAAAAACUCUUAUAAAUACUUUUAGCAGAAAAUACAGGAUUCGGCGCCGACAACCCCUCCAUCGCCGACUUCUACUGGACCCACCACUGCACCAAAACCUCAGCCCAAGGUAAUUAAUUAAUACAUAUUAAAAAAUUAAAAACUAGCGGAGAACGGUAUUUUUAAUAUUUAUAUUCAGCAACUGAAAUUAUAUGCUGACUCGGCUCCAGGUGAGCACCAAAUUCUCGGACGUGCUGGCGUUCAGCGGGCCGGCGCCGGAGCGGAUCAACGGGCGGCUGGCGAUGGUGGGGUUCGUGUCGGCGGUGGCGGUCGAGGUGGCGAAGGGCGACGGCAUCUUCGCGCAGCUGUCGAACGGCGGCGUGCCGUGGUUCCUCUUCACCGCCGCGCUGCUCUCCGUCGCGUCCCUCGUCCCCUUAUUCCGAGGCGAGAGCGUGCAGUCGCGUUCCGGCGCGGUCAUGAGCGCCGACGCCGAGCUCUGGAACGGCAGGUUCGCCAUGCUAGGGUUGGUGGCGUUGGCCUUCACCGAGUACGUUAAGGGAGGGCCCCUUGUGUAAAAUGUAAUAAAUUAAACUAAACGUAUAUACGUGUGAUUUUAUGUUCAUGCAGUGUUGUAUACUGCAUGUAUAUGCGUACGUACAAUUGUGCAAAAGUACUACGUACCUAAAAAAUAAUUAGGGCCUGUUUGGGUACUUUUCAAAAUAAAAUAAUAAUUCAAUUUACGGUGUAUUAUUUACAACUCUUGAAAUAUUAUAAAGGGUUUCUGUUUGGAUACGUUUUGAAAUUGUAAAAAAGAAUAAAGUAAUGAUCAACUCAAAGCGAAAAUUUUUUGUAGAAAGAAAAAAAAUAAAUCACUCUUUUCUUUUCUAGAUAACGCUCAUCCCACCUCCGCCGUCACCACAUGCUGACCUCUUACUCUUCUUCUUCUACCUCUACUCUACUAUCUCCUCCUCGAGAUUGUGACAUUUUUCUUCACCAUCGGCAAUCGUCGCCGCUCUUUGACCUCUUACUCUUCUUCUUCUACCUCUACUCUACUAUCUCCUCCUCGAGAUUGUGACAUUUUUCUUCACCAUCGGCAAUCGUCGCCGCUCUUUGACCUCUUACUCUUCUUCUUCUUCUACAUCUACUAUCUGCUUCUCGAGAUUGUGAUAUUUUUUCUUGUCGUCAGCUCUCACUGUUGCCCACGAGUGCUCCUGCUCCGAGACGGGACACUAUACUAGUGAAUUUUUCGUAUUGGGUUGUCACGGCGGAGGGUGAUGAUGAAGGUGGGAGGGAUGGGAAGAUGGUGGGUUUAAGCAAGAAAGGAGAAGGUGGUAGGGGUGGAUUUGAGCAAAGAGAAGGUGGUGGGAGUGUAUUUUUUUUAUUAACAUUACUUCUUUUUUUUUUCAGAUUUGAACCAAAUAUUAAAAAAAGGAGUAAAAGAUUAUAGAGUUUUAUAUUAACCUAUUACAGUAAGGUUUUUAUAUUAACCUAUUACAGCAAAAUAUCAAACUCUAUUUUAAAUUUCUACCAUUGCCAAACAGCUCUUAAUUAAAGAGUACUGUAAUGGGUUUAGAAUAGUAAUUAGAGAGUAGACUUGGCAAUCUCGACCCAUAUCCGCGGGUUACCCGCAAAUUUACGGGUAUGGGUACCAAUUUUUUCAACCCAAAAAAUUACGGGUAAAACGGGUGGGUACCCAUUAAGCUGUGGGCAUUUUGGGUAACCCGCGAGUACCCACGGGUAUCCGCACAUAUAUUUUUUNGGGUUACUUGAGCAUGGGUAAAAUUUACCCACAAAUUUUUGGAUAGCCAACAUCAUUACCCAUACCUACCCGCGGGUGAGCGGGUGGGUAUGCUGGUUACCCGCAAAUUUUUUUCUUUUUUUCUCUUAUAUUUUUUAAAUGCAAAAUACAUAUAUAUAAGUUUUAAAAAUAUAGCAUAACUUAUUAUUUAAAAUAUCAUAACAUACAAUAAAAAUAUUUAAAGUCUUAAAGCUUAAAAUUUUCGUAAUAUAAAAGACGCGAUAAAAAAUUAGAGUUAGAAUUUAUAGGAUGAGUAAAUAAAAAUAUAUAUAUUUUGCAUUUAAAAAAUAUAAGAGAAAAAAAAAAUUGCGGGUAACCCGCAUACCCACCCGCCCACCCGUGGGUGGGUAUCGAUAAUGAUGUUGGCUACCAAAAAAUUUAUGGAUAAAUUUUAUCCAUACCCAAAUAACCCGUGGGUACAAUAACCCGCCCGCAGGUUACCAAACCCGCCCGUUUGCCAGGUCUAUUAGAGAGUGAUUGAAGGAUAUAUAAGAGUGAUUAAUCUACUCAUGCAACUAAGUAAUUGCUUGCAACAUCCUUUGCUUUUAUUUUUAUUACGAAAUUGUUUUCAAUGAUGCGGCUUCCAAAUCGACGAUCGGCUUCGUUAGGCUUGAUCUACAUUGUUGAAAGUAUUUGGAAACUAAAUUUCAUAACUUUUCGGCCUCAUGUACCUAUCAAACGAGUGAUUUAAAAAUGAACGGUUGAAAAUAAAAAUUUCAUAAAAAAUGAUAAUAAAAGACUUGAAUUUAAAAUUAAAGAUACUGAUCUUACUCUAAAUAGUGAAAAAAAAAUUUUAUAAAAAAUUCAUCAGAUUUGGAUUGUUUUACACCAUUGAAUUUACAAACGCAUCACAUCUACCAUUAAAAUUGUCAAUUUUGGGACCUUUUGAUCACUAGCCAAAUAAUGUAGAACAAUAAUGAAAUUUAGUUUUCAAAUACUUUUAAUAGUGUAGAUCAAAUCUAACGGAGCUGAUCGUCGAUUUAGAAGUCACAUCAUUGAAAACAAUUUGGUAGUAUGAAGGCCUGAUCCGUACUACCGAUAGUAUACCAGUUUAGCUCAAAAAAUAUUAUAUUUUUUUAUUAAUAACAUGAUGUAGUAUUGAUUAUAAUAAUUCAGCUGCAAUAUAAUUUAUGCCAUACCACUAGCUAGAAAACAGAGGAGAUCUUUUUACAUCUAUUUUCUUACUUCUCUUUGGCUCAAUUGUAUCGAACCCCACUAUACAUGAGCAUUUAGUGAUCAAAAGUUAAUAAUAAAUACUAUUCCAAUAAUAUUAUUGGUAGUAUUCUAGCUCCAUGAGUAGAGUUCCUACACUUUCAGAAAUAUAAGGGAAUUGGUUUUUUCAACUUUUUUGGCUCUUGGCUUUUUGAUCAUUUUUUAUCUUUAGAUUAAUAUUGUUAUUCUAAGGGAACUACUCAAUACUAUAAUAAAAUAUAUUUUAGGCGACGCUUUUUAGACCAUUAUGUUCUAGCAUUUUUAAUAUUUAGUAUGCGCCGACACUAUAAUUAAAUAUAUUUUUAUCAAAUACUCAUAAAAAAUUUUCGACCCUAUAUUAAAGUGUCGGUAUAUUCAUCCCGAUAUAUUUACUUAACGACUUUUUGUUCAACACUUUUAUAAACGUCGGGUUAUUUUUGUUGACGUUUUAAAAUAUCACUAGUUAUUGUUUAAAGUAUCCUUAAGUGUAAGAUUUAUUGUAGUGCAAUCUUAGGAGACCACUCAACUCUAAGGUGGACCACUAUCAUCCAAAUCCUAUAAAUUUUUAUCCAAGGGUCAAAAAGUCAGAAGCAUUAACUCCUUUAUAUUUUCGAUAAUAUAGUAGCUCCACACACACACACUAUAUAUAUAUAUAUAUAUGUAUAUAUAUAUAUAUACAUAUGUAGGCUAGAGAUACUUGUAAAGUAUCUAUGGGGUGAUAACAUUAAUGAUGUUUUAGGCUCUGGUGGAGAGAUUGAGGUUGAACUGAUAGUGGACUGGUGUGAGUACGUGGUGGAGGUGGAAUAGUGUUUAAUCAAAAGGUAUUAAUAAUGCAAAAAAUAGAUCAAUGCUUAAAACCUAAUAGCACGCAUGCAUGGUACGACUUCUAUCGUACAACCGUAUCAUAGUCAAUUCUAUAUAUAUAUAUAUGUGCAGCUAUUAUACUUUUAUGAGUACGAUCAUCCUUCACGUACUCAAAAGUUAUUUCGAAUGAUAAUAGAGUUUUUGAAAUCGACGAUUCAUACCGCUAAACGUUAUCUUAGAGCAUUUAAAAUUAACUUUUAGAAAUAAAUUUUAUAAUUUUUUGAAUUAUUAUUUACUUUCCGAUAAAAAAUCUCAUUAUUUUUUUGGAAAAAUAAAUCUCAAAAUUGAAAUAAGUUUUGGCGGUUGCUAAAUGCUUAAAUUAACUGUUGGUAAUUGCAGCACUCUUUUAGGUUAUAGCAACACUCUUUAACUGUCACUAAUACCUAGCGACCACCAUAUGCACAAAUUAUAAUAAGUGUCGAUAAUUUUAGCUAGCAGCACUUUUUGACAUGUACCUAUAUUUAAAAGUGUUGCUAUAGAUCGUUUUGGUGUAGUGUAUUCCAAUAUUACUGGUAAUUCUAGCUCUAUGAGUAGAGUUCUACACUUCCAGAAAUAUAAGGAGUUGGUUUUUUCAACCUUCUUGGCUCUUGGCUAUUUUAUCAUUAUUUAUCUUUGAAUUAAUAUUAUUAUCCUAAGGAGACUACUCAAUACUAUAUAAUAUAUUUUAGGCGACGUUUUAGACCAUUAUGUUCUAGCAUUUUUAAUAUUUGGUAUGCGCCGACACUAUAAUUAAACAUUACCAAUAAAUAUAUUUUUAUCAAAUAUUCAUAAAAAAUUUUCUGACCCUGUAUUAGUGAUCGAACUAUUCAUUCAUCCGAUCUAUUUACUUGAAGCGACUUUUUGUUUCACACCUUUAUUAUCGGGGUUAUUUUGUUGACGUUUUAAAAUAUCAUAGUUAUUUGUUAUAACAGUAACAUUAAUAUAUCCAGAAUUAUUGGUAUGUGCAAUCCUUGGAACCUACUCAAGACUCUAAGGUGACCAAUAUCAUGCCAAAUCCAUCCACCAGAAUCCUUUUGACAGCCAAGCCCGGGGGCGUGCGAUCCAAAUCGAAACAUUCACAACACCUCGGGCUAUUAACCUCCUCUAAGUAGUUUCGCCGGAUAAUUAGCAUAGCAGCCCCGCAGCAGCCCACGCCACACACGAGCUCACUUCCGCGCUUAUAUUAUAUUAUAUAGUGCUAUAUACUAUACUAUAAAGUCAAAUGUAGUCACUAUAUACCAUAAUGCUUAUAACUCCACAUCGCAGUAGUAUAUACUAGCGUUAGCACCCGUAUGUAUAGUAUAUAUAUAUAUAGAUGUAUAUAUAAUGUAUAUAUAUGUAUAUUAUGUAAUAUAUAUGAUAUGUUACUCAGAAUAUAUGUAAUGUGUAUAUCAGUAUAAGCUGUAUAGCUAUAUACUGUAUCACUAUCAUAUAUAUAAUGUAUAUAUAUAUAUAUAUAGUAUAUAUAUAUAUAUUAUAUAUAUAUAUAUAUAAUAUAUAUUAUAUGCAGGCUAUUAUACUCUUAUAUACGAUAUCUUCGUACUCAAAAGUUAUUUCCGAUGAUAUAUAGAGCUUUUGAAUCGACGAUUCAUACCGCUAAACGUUAUCUAGAGCAUUUAAAAUUAACUUUUAGAAAUCAAAUUUUAUAAUUUUUUGACAUUAUUUACUUUACGAUAAAAAAAUCUCAAAUUUUUUUUUGAGAAAAAUAAAUCUCAAAAUUGAUAAUUUUUAACGGCCGGUAUAGAAUGCUUGCUAGUUAACGGUGUAAAAGAAUCGGAAUCGGUUGAAUUUUUGAUAGAAAAUUCUAUUCGCUAUCUAGAUAAAGAUCAAUAAUUCCGAUUUUAAAUUGAAGGCUCCGAUCAUCCAUUUUUAAGAUGUCGUUUGAUUUUAACCAUUCAUUCUAUGACCAUUUGAUGGACUUUAUUAUGAUUUCGAAUAAUUACGAAAUUUAUUUUUUAAAAGUUUUAAAUACUCUGGAUCAUAUUUAACAGAAUGGAUCGUCGAUUCGAAAGCUCUAUCAUUAAUUAAAAAUAACUUAUGAAUAUAAAAGACUCUAUACGCAUAAGAGUACAGUAGUUCUACUCUCUCUCUCCAUACAAUUUCAUAAAGCAAGAAGCACUUUAUUAAUGCAAAAGUACGCAAAACACAGUAUAAGACAAGUUACAACAAUAGGACUAUAUAUAAGUUUCCAUCUGCGAAUUUAUCAUAGAGGCAAACAUAGUGCAAGACACAAGCUACAACAACAUGAGCAUAUAUGAAGUCUCUUUCUGCUAAUUUAUCAUAUUCUAUCAUAGUAUUCAAGCAAACAGUAGGAUCUUAUCAAGCAAUCGCAAAACCCUUAUGUUAAGCAGCGGAUUCGGUGUUCUUCCUCGGAGUAUUCGCAUACUUCCAGGUCGAAGACUCGUUCGCAGUUCGCAAACCUACAACCUCUUCCUCGCGCACUGCGUCGCGUAUUUCCUUCACAUCUUCUUCAGUGAGCUUCACUUUCAAUGAGCCAAUGUUGUUAUCCAGGUUCUUGAUCUUGGUUGUCCCUGAAAACAUUAGGAUUUAGGAAGCAGAUAUAGUGUCACAAAAUAUAUGAGCCAAUUGAUCAAAGAGCUAGCUCUACUUGAGCGAAAAUUUCGAGCCAAUUCAAACACGAUUGAGCUUAAACUUUUGAUUAAUUAGUCGUUUUAUGUUGACACUAUUAGGAUUUGGUUAGAUUUAUAGUUAAAUUCUAGUUGAAUUAGAAUUAAUAUUUAAAUCUAUUGAAGAUAAAAUAAUUAAAGUCUAAAUAUUAAUUAGGGUAUAAAUUUAAUUUGACUAAAAUUUGGGUAGUUUGAUGUAAUUAUAUGUAAGGCCCCAUGUAGUCCUAUGUAUAAGAUAUUAUAGGGCAAAUUUCUUAACCCGGCUAUAACAUUUUGAGUGGUGGCUAGGCCGAAGAUGUUAAGAGAGUUAAGCGUGUUAGGGUCAGAGUAGUCCUAGAAUGGAUGACUCUCUGAGAAGUGAGACGUCACAUUAUAAAUAUAGCAAAGGUGUUAUUAUCUUGGUGGUGGUGGUAUGAUUUAUUUUGGUGGUGGUGAUACGGUUUUGCCACACCCAUACGGCAUGACUAAAGUGGUCAUAAUUUUGGUUGCACCUAGCGCAUGGGUGUAAAAGGAUGUAUAUGUGCGGCUUUCAUAACCGUGGGUCAUUGGUAUACCUUGUGCAGAGUGCACAGGAUGAGAGAGAAGUCUUUUGGAUUUAUAAAAGACGAGAGAGGACAAGAGAUUUAGAAAGAGGGUUGGAGUUGAAACAACUCUGUAUAAAAGAGAAGUCAGGUGCAAUUCUUUUCUUGAUCGGUAAAUCUUAUUUUGUCUGUAUAUUUUCUGUUUGAUUUUUUCUCUAUUUUGUGUUGUACGCUUUUUAUUGAGGAGAUGAGUUUAUAGUAAAAAUGCGACGUGGAAUCCUAGCUACUAGUACUAAAAUGAGUACCGGAUCAACAACAAUUGGUGUCGGAGAGGAUUGCGGAUUUUAAAAAUCUAAUAUCAGAGCAAAUACCAGAUUCCCAACAGAUACUGCGUUCCAUUAAUCGUAAAUCUAAAUUACCUGGGAUUGGGGCAACAUCAUCCCCUUGAUGAAGAACCCAAGCUAAAGCUAGUUGAGCAGGGGUGCACUGAUGCUUCAAGGCUAGGUUUUCCAUUCUCACAUACAAAGGCCUAUUCUUUUCCAAGUUCCCUCCGGAAAACCUCGGAUGUGAUUGCUGUACAAUUCAGAUUCAAAUUUGAAAUUUUAAUCAUGAGUUCCAAACAUGCAUUUAGAACAAAAUUUUGAAAUUUUAGAAGAUUAUUAGUUCAUUACCAGAAACGUAUCUUGUGGUAUUGCUUCUACAACUCCUUUCCCACCAAAAAAGCCGCGGCCGAGGGGGCUGUAAGGAACUAUCCCAAUUCCCAGCUCCCUGCAUUCACAUUUAUAAAUAAAAUUUUGUUUAAAAAUUUGUCGGAUUACAAAUCGAAAAUUCAAUUUUCGAUUUGAUUUGGGAUCGAAAAUACGACUUGUUCGAUCGUAGGCUAAGAAGAUGAUGCGAACCGAACCUGCAAAGCGGCACGAUCUCGGACUCGAUGUCGCGAGUCCAAAGUGACCAUUCCAUCUGAAGUGCGGAGAUUGGGUGCACCGCGUGGGCUCGCCGGAUUGUGUCCGGGCUCGCCUCCGAGAGCCCGAUGUACUUCACUUUCCCCUCCUCCACCAAUUUCUUUAGCUCUCCCAUCUAUUGCAUUUUUUUUUUUUCAACCAAAAAUGUUAAUAUUAAAUUAUACUUAUAGUGACAAUAAUUAAUCCAAAAUUUUUAUAUUAUUAACUUAAAUGGGCCAGCAUCCUGCCUGUGGCGCGUGGGGAGCCAACGAGUCACGUUCGAAAUGGUGUAAGGUCAGAUUAGAUCGAGUCAUAAUUGAGAACUGUGAACACUAUAUUUGUACACUUUAAGUGAAUUAAUUACGUAUUUCUAACGGCUCGAGUUUUCGGGAUUAAUGGAUAGCGUCAACGAUCUGACAAUAUAUAUAUCUUAAAAGGGUAAUUAAUUACUCACGGUCUCCUCAAUGGGCACGGUGGGGUCGAUCCGGUGCUGGUAGUAGAGGUCGAUGUAGUCCACGCCGAGCCUCUCGAGGCUCGCCUCGCAGCAGGCGCGCGCAUACUCGGGCUUACCGUUGAUGUAGUACUGCGUGUUACUCCAUCUACCGCCGGGCAUCACCACCCCGAACUUUGUCGCCAGUUGCACCUUCUCCCUCGGCAGUUGUUUCAGCGCCUGCACGAGUGAUCAUGCAAUCCACAUGCGUUUGGUACUAUCGAGUUACCAAUUCCAGUACGUAUAUAUAUAUGUAUAUACGUAGGGAGAAGAGAGAGAGAGAGAGAGAGAGAAGGGGAUCGAGAAACGAACUUUGCCGACUAAGAUUUCGUUGGUGUGAGGUCCGUAGAGAUCGGAGGUGUCGAAGAAGGUGAUGCCGCUCGCGAAGGCGUGCUUGAUGAUGGCGAUGCCGGCCGCGUCGUCGACCGGAGCGUUGUAUACUCCGGUGAGGCCCAUGCACCCAAACCCUAGCUUAGAUACCUACUCAUAUAUAGAGAGAUUAAUGAAUGUAAUUAAUUAGGAAGUAUAUAUGAUUAAUUAUAUAGUAGUAUGUAAAUAAAUAACUAAUGUUAAUUACCUCUAAUCCCUGGGAGCCCAACUUAACCCUCUCCAUUUCUCUACUUCUCUACUCUACACUAUUUGCUAUAUAUGUAAUGUAUACUCUCUCUCUUUUGCUAUAUAUAGAUAUAAUAUGUUUUGAGUAAGGGUUAUGGUUUGGGGGAGUAAUGGUGGUGGUGACGUCACGGCUUGGCUCAUGCAUUAAUAUAAUAUAUAUUAUAUAUAUAUAUAUAUAUAUAUAUAUAUAUAUAUAUAUAUUUUUUAUUAUGUACUAGUGGGCGCAGCGAAAUAAUAAACGAAUAGAUCUAUGAAUUGGAGAUGCUGUGGGAGUAUCUACGGCAUCUAAAUUAUCAACAGACUCUCGAAGAAUAUUGAAGAUUUGCCCAAGAGUAGCUCUGCUGACCGGAACACUUAUUAGAGGAUCUCCCGUGUCAAUCACUUCAUUCCUCUCGUUCAGCCCAUCUGUAGCACUCAUAGCUACAGCUCUAACUCGAUUAUUUUUUAAUAAUUAUUGUAAUAUAAAAGUUCCAUUUCAUUGGUGAACGGUGGUUAAUUUUUAAUAUUAAUUUUUUUAAAAAAAAUUCUACUUUUAGAUAAAGAUUAUUGUUGUUGGAUAGAGAUAAAAAAUGAACAUAUAAUCAUAAAUUGGGACUUCGCAAUAAGGCGGGGUUUGGAAACUCCCCAUUUUAAAUUUUUUCCAAAUAUAAAAACUGUAAUAAAACAGUCAUCUAAAAGUGUAAAACCUAAAUGCUUCUUCUUUAUUUUUUUUAACAGAAACACAAAAUAUUAUAAUUAAUUAACUCUUGGAAGUUGAAACGGGUACAUUCAGGUUACACUUAAAACGGGACGGAUCGUGGGCGAAAGGGGACUUAAAACACAGCGGUUGUUUUAUUUUUUAUCAGAUCGGAAUGGAUUUUGAAUUGAUUAAUUUUAUCCUAUUCUUUUUAUUCUUACUUUUCACUUUAUUCAGAAUGAAUCAGAACAAAAAUAAAUUUUAAUAAAAUUUUCAACGAACCGGAACAAAUCAAAAAGAAAAAAAAAAAAUCUCCGACUCCCGAGUCAUUUACUUGAACCGCUUGAUUCAUAGCGGUUCACACUUUGACUAGUGGGACCCAUUUCCACCAAUGAGCUCACUGCUGAAGUAAUACUCCCCUUGCCUUGACAAGUGGGAACUAGAAAUGUCAAUAGGUAUGGAUAUUCGAAAUUUUAUCCGAAUCCGAAUUCGAAUCCAAAUAAAACGGAUAUAUCCGAUGGAUAUGGAUAUGGAUAUAGAUUCGGAUAUGGAUAUCAAAAUAAAAAUCCGACGGAUAUGAAUUCGGAUAUGGAUUUUGAUUGUACCCGACCCGACCCCGAACCCGACCCGAACCCAAAUUUAUUUUGUAUUAUAUAAAAUAUAUAUAUAUAUAUAAAUUUGAUGGUAUAUUUGAAUUUGUAUUCUAAAAAUUUAGAUUUAAUAUAAUAUAUUUUGAAAUAUUGAAAAAAGAAAUAAUUGUUUCGGAUUCAAAUUUUCGGGUUUGGGUUCGGGUUCGGAUUUCGAAUUUUUUGUCAGGUUCGGAUUUGGAUAUGGAUUUUUAAAAUCCGUCGGGUUCAGAUUCAGGUUCGGGUCUCGAGUUGACAUCUCUAGUGGGACCCACUUCCACGAGUGAGCUCACUGCUCAAGUAAUGCUCCCUUUCCCUAAUUUAGGAUCAUCUAGGUUCGCAAAUAAUACGAAUACCCGGAAUUUUAUUCAAAUCCGAAUUUAAAAGAAAUAGAUUUAUUUGAUGUUAAAUAAAUAUGAUUUCGGAUAUGUAUAUUAAAAACAAAAACACGGUAGAUAUGGCUUCAUAUAUGAAUUUUGACUGUACCCGACCUGAAUCCGAAUUUAUUUUAUAUUUUAUAUAAUAUAUGUAUAUAAAAAUUUGAUAUUAUAUUUGAAUUUGUAUUUAAAAAGUUUAGAUUUAAUAUAAUAUAUUUUAAAAUAUUGAACAGAGAAAUAAUUAUUUUGGGUUCAAAUUUUCGGAUUCGAGUCCGGCCGGGUUCGGAUUCGGAUUUUUUUAAAAGUCCGUUCCGAAUCUGAUCCGUUGACAUCCCUACCGAUCAUCUAAUUGCCAUUGCGAGGUGAUUGUGUUGUAUACAUACAAUAAAAAAUAAGAUAAAACAAACAAAUUUUAACUUUUAUAUGCUCCCGUCUCGAAUUUUUUUAUUUAAUAGUAUUAAAUAUUUCGAGUUCGGCUACUAUGCUAUCAAUAACAUCAAGCACUUUGUGCUAUUAAGUUUUCCACUGUUAAAUCUAUUUCUUUGACGUUUUCCAACCGCUGUUAAAUCGUACUAUUCAAUCAACCACCCACUCAACCUUAGUAGAUCACUAUUAUCUGAACCGUUCAUCUCUUAAUCUAAGAGCCGAAAACCUAAUAGCAAAAAUGACUUGGUGUUAUUAGGACUUGGUUUGGUUCGGGUAUAAGCAAGAACUAGUUAUACCGGGGAUAGAUACAAAUAUGGGUUUUCGUAGGAAUAAGGGUAUUUUUUUUUGUUUGGAUAACAAUAUGAGUAUAAGCUGGAACUAGAAAAAUUAUGUUUGGAUGAAAAUGUAAGUAUAAGGUGGAAUAGUUGGUAGUUAUAAAUAGAAAAUAAUGAUAUUAACCCUAUAAUUAUUUUAAAUUUUUAAACUGAAAAUUUUAAAUUGAAAAUUUUAACUUUUAAAUUAUAAAUUUUGAAAUUAGAUUUAAAAUUUUAAUUUUCAAAAUUUUAAUUUUAAAUAUCUGAUUUUAAAUUUAAGACCAAAUUUAAAUUUGAAUGAUAGAUGAAAAAUAUCAAUUAAAAUUUAAAACUAAAAAUAUCAUGAUUCAAAAUUUAAAUUUAAAAUCAAAUUAAAAUUUAAUUUUAUAUUAUUAAUUUAAAAUUAUAAUAUUAAUUUUAGAAAUUUAACUUUAAAAUAAA
This 13188-nucleotide long non-coding RNA is filed under the name Ananas comosus (pineapple). Its description in RNAcentral is "long non-coding RNA (ACOM_LNC014554)". The record is from RNAcentral. Lineage: Eukaryota; Viridiplantae; Streptophyta; Magnoliopsida; Poales; Bromeliaceae.